AUACUACUCCCUCCGUCUCAAAAUUCUUGUUUUAGAUACGUCUAGAUACGGAUAUAUCUAAUACUAAAACGUGACUUGAUACAUCUGUAUUUAGACAAAUCUAAGACAAGAAUUUUAUGACGAAGAGAGUAUUAA
Non-coding RNA from Triticum aestivum (bread wheat), 135 nucleotides. The record is from Rfam. NCBI's taxonomy places the organism in Eukaryota, Viridiplantae, Streptophyta, Magnoliopsida, Poales, Poaceae.